RNAcentral lists this long non-coding RNA (563 nucleotides) under Salvia miltiorrhiza (redroot sage). RNAcentral's name for it is "long non-coding RNA (SMIL_LNC003296)". The record is from RNAcentral. Lineage: Eukaryota; Viridiplantae; Streptophyta; Magnoliopsida; Lamiales; Lamiaceae.
UAAAAUACAGAGUUUGAAACCCAGAAGAACUCAAAAAACGCGCAAAACUGAAAAAUCCGGGUAGCCGGCGACCUGCCCGGCGACCCAUCCGGCGGUCAUUGGCUCAAGCACAAAAAUCCUUCAUCUGGCGGCGAUCGCCGCGUCUUUUCCAACGUUCCAGAAGAUCCGGCGACCCAGGCGGCGGUCGCCGGUCAGGUCGCCGGAAAUCCUUCUUCGGGCGGUGGUCAACGGUGUUUGACCGCCGGGUUCUGACUGCUGCGCGCGAUGUUUUCGUUUCGGCCAUAACUUUCUCGUCCGAACUCGGAUUUGCGAUCCGUUUGCGCUCACGAACUCCUAUCGAGACGAUCUAAAACUUGUAUUUCAGCACAGUUUUCCAAAUUCGAACUCAAUAAACCUGAAAUUUCCUUCAAAGUUCGAGUAAGAAUCAUGUUUCAAAAGAUAAAGCAAAUUAAGCACAAAACAAUCAUCCAACACUCAAUUUCCUAUAAAAUUGACAUCAUAUGAACACUAAAACCAUGGGAACAUGAGUGUUAUCAACUCCCCCAAACUUAAGCCAUUGUUCG